This 348-nucleotide ribosomal RNA is filed under the name uncultured fungus. RNAcentral's name for it is "SSU rRNA". It matches the Rfam family "Eukaryotic small subunit ribosomal RNA", at positions 21 to 370 of the family's 1831-position model. Lineage: Eukaryota; Fungi. The record is from RNAcentral.
UGUAGUCAUAUGCUUGUCUCAAAGAUUAAGCCAUGCAUGUCUAAGUAUAAGCACUUUAUACGGUGAAACUGCGAAUGGCUCAUUAAAUCAGUUAUCGUUUAUUUGAUAGUGCCUUACUACAUGGAUACCUGUGGUAAUUCUAGAGCUAAUACAUGCUGAAAACCCCGACUUCGGAAGGGGUGUAUUUAUUAGAUAAAAAACCAACGCCCUUCGGGGCUCCUUGGUGAUUCAUGAUAACUUAACGAAUCGCAUGGCCUUGCGCCGGCGAUGGUUCAUUCAAAUUUCUGCCCUAUCAACUUUCGAUGGUAGGAUAGUGGCCUACCAUGGUGGCAACGGGUAACGGGGAAU